CCGGCGGGCAGGGGGCUCCUCCGGCCGCGGCUGAGCCCCUGAGGAAGCGAGGAGGUGUCCUCCGGGUGGAAGGGAUGAGGGACAGGCGCCUCGGCCCUAAAGCGGCUCCUCCCGGGAGAAGCGGUGCUAGCUGUCUGUCUGCUCCUGUUGGUCUCAAACCCCCCUGCCCUGGGCCUGCAGAGGAUGCUGUGAAAGAAAGCAGAUUUGGACAAAGGGAGCUGCUGUUGGAAGACGCUGACCACCUUCAUGGGCAUUCCAGAACACCAGUGAAGUGCCGGGUGGCCGUGUGGUCCAGCUUCUCCUGGCUGUGACGCAGCGGCCAUGCAAGGCAUCCGUCAAUACAAGCGCUGACCGGAGAGCAAGGACGCACGGAAUCGCAGAAGGUCCUGAGUUGGAAGGGGAACACAAGGAUCAUCGAGUCCAACUCCUGGCUCCACACAGGACCACCCCAAAAUCAGACCCCAGUCAAAUACGCAUAUGGAAACUUAGAUGUAAACCCUGAACUGCCUGCAAAGGAAACUUCGUAGACUUCAGUUGAAGCCCAAUUUUUACAGAACGUAUCAUCAUGGACAGUCUCAGCUCAAGGCUGAGUUUGAACAGAACAGCACAGCUGUUGCACCGUCUGCAAUGAAUACAGAUUGGAAUGAAGGGAAAGAUCUGUGGCAGAGCUCAACAACGGCAGCAUAAGAAUUACUAAAAAUAGGCACAGCAGGAAUGUCUACUUUAGGACAAUUUCCAUUAAUGCCUCACAUUAACCUCUCCCACACGCAGGGAUCCACAGGUGAAAUCCCACAGUUGCCUCACAGCGGCUUAACCGCAGGUGGAAUAGGGCGCCCGGGGCGCUGGGCAGGGUGCCGCCGCUCCUUUUGGCAGCGGCCUGCAGCGAAAUCAGAUCACGGUGAUUAAGGAACCAGCCCCUGAGCUGGUUCCGUGGCUGCGGAUUCAGUCGCAUCGGCGGGGAGCUGCACCCCUGCUCCUGAGAAAAGGUUCGCUCGGCAACUUGGGCGAGAGAAAGGGCGAGACACCUGAGAGCGACUGCGUUCAUUGAACGUUGAAGAAUUUGGGUUUUUAUUGCAAGAAAUCUUCCUUGAAAUGGGUGCCAUCAAAGCCAUGACAGAAAACAAAAGCAAUGCUAGACAACAAUUUAAAUUACAAUCUCUAGAAAUAUUCUACAUCCCUACAUGAUGGUUGUUUCUAUGGUUUUUUUCCUGACAG
This is a long non-coding RNA of Cygnus atratus (black swan), 1215 nucleotides long. RefSeq lists it as uncharacterized. NCBI's taxonomy places the organism in Eukaryota, Metazoa, Chordata, Aves, Anseriformes, Anatidae. The record is from RefSeq and is a predicted model, not a curated record. The transcript is spliced from 4 exons.